GAUUAUAUGAGUUUGUUAGAAAAACCACUUUCCUUUGCUCCUAGCGCCUUCUCGUUCGCUGUAUAGCGUUUUGAGCGGAUAAAGAGCACAAGUGUGCAUGGAGACACAGGAUGAAUGGGAACAAGUUUUGUUAUUGCUCUUUUGAUGAAAACUGACUUUCUAGACAUAAAAUGUCACUUUUUUCACCUUAUCAUACUUUUUCAUCAACUUUUGCAUUUUAAGGUAAACAAUCAUAUUUCGUAAUAUUUUGGGUCAGAAACAUUUCAUAGUACUAUAUUAUGUCUAAAUAUGUGAAAAGAAUCAAAUUGGAGUAGGUCGGGCAACUGAUUAUAUGAGUUUGUUAGAAAAACCACUUUCCUUUGCUCCUAGCGCCUUCUCGUUCGCUGUAUAGCGUUUUGAGCGGAUAAAGAGCACAAGUGUGUAUGGGGACACUGGAUGAAUGGGAAUUAGUUUUGUUAUUGUACUUUUGAUGAAAACUGACUUUCUAGACAUAAAAUGUCACUUUUUUCACCUUAUCAUACUUUUUCAUCAACUUUUGCAUUUUAAUGUAAACAAUCAUAUUUCGUAAUAUUUUGGGUCAGAAACAUUUCAUAGUACUAUAUUAUGUCUAACUAUGUGAAAAAAAUCAAAUUGGAGUAGGUCGGGCAACUGAUUAUAUAAGUUUGUUAGAAAAACCACUUUCCUUUGCUCCUAGCGCCUUCUCGUUCGCUGUAUAGCGUUUUGAGCGGAUAAAGAGCACAAGUGUGCAUGGAGACACAGGAUGAAUGGGAACAAGUUUUGUUAUUGCACUUUUGAUGAAAAGUGACUUUCUAGACAUAAAAUGUCACUUUUUUCACCUUAUCAUACUUUUUCAUCAACUUUUGCAUUUUAAUGUAAACAAUCAUAUUUCGUAAUAUUUUGGGUCAGAAACAUUUCAUAGUACUAUAUUAU
Molecule: long non-coding RNA, 930 nt
Organism: Ictalurus punctatus (channel catfish)
Lineage: Eukaryota; Metazoa; Chordata; Actinopteri; Siluriformes; Ictaluridae
Source: Ensembl